AUUGAACGCUGGCGGCAGGCCUAACACAUGCAAGUCGAACGAGUGGCGGACGGGUGAGUAAUGUCUGGGAAACUGCCUGAUGGAGGGGGAUCACUACUGGAAACGGUAGCUAAUACCGCAUACCAUCGGAUGUGCCCAGAUGGGAUUAGCUAGUAGGUGGGGUAAAGGCUCACCUAGGCGACGAUCCGUAGCUGGUCUGAGAGGAUGACGAGGCACACUGGAAAGGAGACACGGCCAAGACUCCUACGGGAGGCAGCAGUGGGGAAUAGGGGACAAGGGGGGCAAGCCUGAUGCAGCCAGGGCGCGUGUAUGAAGAAGGGCUUCGGGUUGUAAAGUACGUUCAGCGGGGAGGCGUUACCCGCAGAAGAAGCACCGGCUAACUCCGUGCCAGCAGCCGCGGUAAUUC
Molecule: ribosomal RNA, 406 nt
Filed under: uncultured bacterium
Lineage: Bacteria
Description: partial 16S ribosomal RNA
Rfam family: Bacterial small subunit ribosomal RNA
Source: RNAcentral